This 391-nucleotide long non-coding RNA is filed under the name Androctonus crassicauda. The record is from RNAcentral. Lineage: Eukaryota; Metazoa; Arthropoda; Arachnida; Scorpiones; Buthidae.
GGGACAGUUAAUCGCAGUUAACUUAACUGCCGUUAAAGUUGAUCACAGUUAUCUUUCUCCGUGAUUAAAGUGGUGUUUACACACGUUGAUAGUUAAACAGGUUAUGACGUUUGUUGCUUAUUCUGUUUCCGGUAGAAUCUUACGUCGGUAAUGGCGGACAACUUACACGCUCGUAUUGAAUCUGAUUUAAUAAAUAUGUCAUCAAGAAGCAAAACAAAGCUUUUGAACGAAUUUUUACUUUUAAAUGCACAAAAUAAUCGUUUACAGGAAGAAAUAUUGAGAUAUUCGUCUCUUAUUUUAAUAUAUUUAAGGAAGAGAAAUACACUUAUGAGACAAGCACAUCUAGCACAGGUAAAUAAUGUAUAUUAUAUAUAAAUUAUUCUUUAUGUAC